This 225-nucleotide long non-coding RNA is filed under the name Lathyrus oleraceus (garden pea). Its description in RNAcentral is "Pisum sativum (pea) long non-coding RNA (PSAT_LNC026366)". Lineage: Eukaryota; Viridiplantae; Streptophyta; Magnoliopsida; Fabales; Fabaceae. The record is from RNAcentral.
UGAAGAUGAAUCUCAGACCCAAAAUUUUAUCCACAAAAUUUCAACACAGAUUUAUAUGGUAUUAGAUAUGGGAUUGAAAUCUGAAUUUCUAGAAGUUUACUAUUGACAUAUUUGAGUUUUUUUUAUGAUGUAAUUUAUUGUAUUUUUCAAUGGAAUUUAAAUGAAGAAGAUGAAUGUUUGGAGAUGAAGAAGAUGAAUGUUUGAAGAUGAAGAAAGAUAAAGAAG